UCCAUGUUCAAAGAUUCGUCAUCGAAGCCUACAAAAAGACUUUUACAAGUCAAUCAAAGCUUUGGGGAAAGUCUCCUGUCACAAUAGCGGAAACGCAAUGAUCUAUCACAGAUUUCAUUGACGGCGGUUUACAUUCCCAUUUGUGCUGAUAUGUCCUUGCUUUAUAUCUCUUUGAUUUCCUUACUCUUUCAGGGUGGGUCGGAUCCUGUUGGCUCUAUUGUUCCAUGUUGUGAAUUUCUUGAUUCUGUGUUUUUGUUGCUAAUCCAUUUGGAUCUUGUCUUUCUAGCUCUGGCAACUGAUGCACAAUUGAAUGUGGGAUUAUUGCACAGGUUCAAUAUACGGGGUUAACACGGACCUGGUUCUUAAGGGGUCAUACACGGAGAUGUUUGCUUUUUGGGUGUAUUUUGUGCAUUGGGAAAGUACGUGCCGUAUUACGUUCCUGAAUGGGUUUAUUUAUCUCAUUUGGAUGUAUUCCGGUAUCAUUUCUCGGAAUGGUAUUGGACAGUCGACAUUGGGAUCUUGCGGAUCCUAAACGAUAGUCAUGACGAAUGAUCGGUAUGAUUAACGCAAUGGAGCUUAUUCUUGAUUCAUGG
Molecule: RNase MRP RNA, 593 nt
Filed under: Spathaspora passalidarum NRRL Y-27907
Lineage: Eukaryota; Fungi; Ascomycota; Pichiomycetes; Serinales; Debaryomycetaceae
Description: RNase MRP
Rfam family: RNase MRP
About the family: RNase MRP is an enzymatically active ribonucleoprotein with two distinct roles in eukaryotes. In mitochondria it plays a direct role in the initiation of mitochondrial DNA replication.
Source: Rfam by way of RNAcentral